UUUAAUAUGGCAGAAUAGUGCACUGAAUUUAAACUUCAAUCAUAAAGAUCCAAUCUUUUAUUAAAU
This 66-nucleotide transfer RNA is filed under the name Mycocepurus curvispinosus. RNAcentral's name for it is "tRNA-Leu". It matches the Rfam family "tRNA". Rfam says of the family: Transfer RNA (tRNA) molecules are approximately 80 nucleotides in length. Their secondary structure includes four short double-helical elements and three loops (D, anti-codon, and T loops). Lineage: Eukaryota; Metazoa; Arthropoda; Insecta; Hymenoptera; Formicidae. The record is from RNAcentral.